Molecule: long non-coding RNA, 1282 nt
Organism: Cebus imitator (Panamanian white-faced capuchin)
Lineage: Eukaryota; Metazoa; Chordata; Mammalia; Primates; Cebidae
Exons: 3
Source: RefSeq, a predicted model, not a curated record
AUUUGGGGCAGGGAUCCUCCAUAAGGACUCACUCUCUCCCUCCUUGGACCCAAGGAGUCUGAGGCUUUCCAGGACUACCUGAGAAAUCCUGCCGGGCCUGCUUGGUCAAAACUGAGGUGACAGUAACGGCACCUGUAUUACAGAGCUGAUGUGAGAACUAGAAGAGUGAAUAUGUGCAACUGCUAGAACAGUGCCCGAGGACCAGCAGGUAUUUCAUAGCGGUAACUACAAUUAUCUUCACCCUCCUGCCUGCGAACCACAGCAUCCUUUGCCACCAGGAAAUAAUAAAUAAAUCUGCAAGAUUCUGUCAUCCCAAGAAGAAGUAGCUCAGUGUCCUCAUGUCUUGGCUGUGGAAGAAAGAAGGGAAGAGAAAGCCAGAGCCAUGUGGUCAGCUUUACACACUGUCAGAAAAGGAACCCAUGACCCCCUGACCCAGGGCAGCAGGGACGGAGGUGAGAAGUUGCCCCAAAGAAGAUUCAGGAAACUCAGCAUGAGCCGCCUGACAUCAAUCAAUAAACCAGGAGGCCACCCUGCAAAGCAGGCUGUAUUGCAUUAUUUGAGCAAGGCUGCUAGACAUCUGGACAUUUCUGUUAGCCUCCAUCCCUCCUGUUGUCAUAAAUUUAAGCUAAUCCUAUGGGGCCCAGGAUCAUAAGAAUAAUCCCCACAUCUGUGUGGGCUUUUCAGCUUUCAAAAGCUCAUUCACGGAAUUAUCUCAUUAGUUCCACUCAAUGCCUGUGGGAGGGACUCUGGGAUGAUCAUCGCCAUUUGGCAGAUAAAUGCGGAAACCCAGAGAAGGAAAGUGACUUUCUCAAGGUCACACAGUAAGGCAGUGGACAAUUAAGAUAAAUGCACCGGGUCUCCUGAUCCCCAGCCUGGGACUCUCUCAUGAGAAUACUGUUGCCUUACAAAGAUGGCCCUGAGACCCAGACAUCUAUCCCACAGCCGCCCAGGGCUAUGGUCCUAAAGAAAUCACUUGUUCACCCCCUUGCCACUGAAUGGGAAUGGAAUAUCAUCAGGAAGCUACAGUGGAAAGGCCAUAGGCUUCACGGUCGAAUUGUCCAGGUUCAAAUCCCAACUUCCUGGUCAUCAACCCCAGACCACGUGGUGAAGGCCUGAGGCCCCUGCAUUUACUCCUGACCCCCAAAGAUGGGAAUGAUAAUUCUGUGGUGUCACUUGCUCUGUCUGCUCUCCAUCUCACCUUCUGACAAUGACUCCCCAUCUUUUGGGAACUGUUUGUCCUCCAACUCCAACUAGUUGGCCCUGAAUGAAGCUUUCCACCAUG